Molecule: non-coding RNA, 327 nt
Organism: Vicia faba (fava bean)
Lineage: Eukaryota; Viridiplantae; Streptophyta; Magnoliopsida; Fabales; Fabaceae
Source: the annotation of a GenBank genome assembly
AUGGAUCCGUCCCUCUUUCACGCGUUUUCCUCUGUUCUUACUCAUCUCAUCAAUUCAUCGAUUUCGCGAUCAACACAAACAAAAUAUCACAUAUCAAAAACCCUAAAACCCCAAUUCACUAUGCUUUGGAUUACAUAUUACAAUACAGAAAUCAAGAAGAAAAUAACAACGAGUAAAUCAAAAAAAUUACAUGAAAAUGAUUGCUAUGCUCUUCUCAAUUUCUGCGGAUUUGUGGUUUUUGAGUGUGUGUGCUCUCUGCUUAGAGUGAAUGAAUUACUGAGUUUGUUUUAUAGGAGGAUUUACAAAGGGGGUAUGAAUUAUGGAUAA